Long non-coding RNA from Eucalyptus grandis, 850 nucleotides. RefSeq lists it as uncharacterized. The transcript has 3 exons. The record is from RefSeq and is a predicted model, not a curated record. NCBI's taxonomy places the organism in Eukaryota, Viridiplantae, Streptophyta, Magnoliopsida, Myrtales, Myrtaceae.
CGACCAUAUUGCGAAAAUCUUCGCAAUAAAUGUCAGGUGGAAGGCCGAAAGCGAGGAGGCGCAGAGAUCACAUAGCACACGUGUAAAAAACAGAACCGCAAAAGAAGUUGAUAUGUCCAAGCCCCAGCCACCUCGACUCCAUACAAUUCAGAUCUCAACAACCGAGAGCGGAUUCUUAUGAAGACUGUACUUCUGAUUAACUUGGAGGUCAAGGACAACCAUGAGGAGGCAGCAACUGGAGCUCAGCGUGCUUUAGAUCUUUGUCGAGAGAGGCAGAACAGGCGGAAAUUUUUAUUCAGCAUUUCCUUCUAUUGAUGACCGUGGUGAGGGCAAGACUAUUGUUCUGAAAGCUUUAUGAUCCAUGUCGUUGUUCUGUUAGUAUUUUGACUGCAAAUUUAUAUGUCGACGAACUGAACUUUGGGUUUCUGUUUGUCCAUCUACUUGCACAAGUGGUAAUAGACUUAAAUACAUUACCAGAUUUCUUCCAACGCUGUUACUGUUUGCUUUGCACGAAGCCUUCCCUAGAAAUCUUUCCUUUCUAAGCCCAGCGAGCCCUAUUUAAUCCAUUACACAGCUAAUCAUUUCAUUAUACCCUAUCCUGAAUUUGAUCUCUUCUUAUGUCAGGAAGACUGAAUCAGGCUCUCCCAUGUUUUUACGCCUUCGCUUGAUCUUGGUAUUCCAUGCCAAUUGUUGGGUUUGAUGAGCACUUUCCUUGACUACUCGUUAGUGGUAGGUCAUUUUGCAACAAUAUCUUUAUCUGCAUAAUGAGAAUUGUCAUUCUCACGCUUUGAAUUGAAUUUGCUACAGAAUCCUAUUCUUUGCUGUUAUUGCCAAGCCUGUCAUACUAAUG